Molecule: long non-coding RNA, 193 nt
Filed under: Daphnia magna
Lineage: Eukaryota; Metazoa; Arthropoda; Branchiopoda; Diplostraca; Daphniidae
Description: uncharacterized LOC123469421
Source: RNAcentral
UUCAGACGUUUGCUCUUCCGAAGUAUUUCUGUCCAAAGUGAUUAGGUGCAACUGGAUGAAUCUCAGAAGUCAAGAUUUUCAUCUAUACGAACAAAAAUUCAUUUUCGUUCAAAUUCAGACGUAUCUCAACACUUACCUGAGGAAAGGCUGUUACUAUUGUUUGGGUUGCUGGAGGAGUACAGAAAAGGUUAGC